This 73-nucleotide transfer RNA is filed under the name Camelus bactrianus (Bactrian camel). It matches the Rfam family "tRNA". Rfam says of the family: Transfer RNA (tRNA) molecules are approximately 80 nucleotides in length. Their secondary structure includes four short double-helical elements and three loops (D, anti-codon, and T loops). Further hydrogen bonds mediate the characteristic L-shaped molecular structure. tRNAs have two regions of fundamental functional importance: the anti-codon, which is responsible for specific mRNA codon recognition, and the 3' end, to which the tRNAs corresponding amino acid is attached (by aminoacyl-tRNA synthetases). tRNAs cope with the degeneracy of the genetic code in two manners: having more than one tRNA (with a specific anti-codon) for a particular amino acid; and 'wobble' base-pairing, i.e. permitting non-standard base-pairing at the 3rd anti-codon position. The record is from Rfam by way of RNAcentral. Lineage: Eukaryota; Metazoa; Chordata; Mammalia; Artiodactyla; Camelidae. RNAcentral also lists the same sequence under 2 other names.
GAGGGUAUAGCUCAAGUGGCAGAGGGUGUGCUUAGCAUGCACAAAUUCCUGGGUUCAAUCCCCAGUACGCCCU